RNAcentral lists this ribosomal RNA (467 nucleotides) under uncultured bacterium. Its description in RNAcentral is "partial 16S ribosomal RNA". It matches the Rfam family "Bacterial small subunit ribosomal RNA", at positions 28 to 507 of the family's 1533-position model. The record is from RNAcentral.
GACGAACGCUGGCGGCGUGCUUAACACAUGCAAGUCGAACGAUGACGACCGAGCUUGCUCGGUCUGAUUAGUGGCGAACGGGUGAGUAACACGUGAGCAACCUGCCCUUCACUCUGGGAUAACUUCGGGAAAUCGGGGCUAAUACCGGAUAUGAGCUCCUGUCGCAUGGCGGGGGUUGGAAAGUUUUUCGGUGAAGGAUGGGCUCGCGGCUUAUCAGUUUGUUGGUGGGGUAGUGGCUUACCAAGGCGAUGACGGGUAGCCGGCCUGAGAGGGUGACCGGCCACACUGGGACUGAGACACGGCCCAGACUCCUACGGGAGGCAGCAGUGGGGAAUAUUGCACAAUGGGCGAAAGCCUGAUGCAGCGACGCCGCGUGAGGGAUGACGGCCUUCGGGUUGUAAACCUCUUUCAGCAGGGACGAAGCGAAAGUGACGGUACCUGCAGAAGAAGCGCCGGCUAACUACGUG